CGUGGCGAAGGACGCCCUGGGUAACGACGUCCUCGCCUCCGAGUGGCUGAAGACCCACGGCCCCAACGACAGAACCCUCACGCAGGGCUUGAAGGUGCGCACCCAAACCCCCUAAUUUCUCCUCCUCCUCUGUUCUAAAUUUGCUAUCAAAUUUAUCUGAUAAUUCCGAUCUCUUCCGAGACAAUAAUUCGACCCAUUUUGACUUCUGACUUCCCCAAAAGUAAGCUAUAUCUAGAAGUCAACGGCACCACCGCUUCGAUGAUCUUCAUGGGGAUUUAUUGGAAAGCUCUCAUUUUUGGGCUGGAAUCCUAAUCCCUGCCCCGAAUUGGGUACUGCGUUGCCACAAUCAUAAAAUUCCGAGUUCUUCCGAGACAAUGAUUCGCCCAUUUUGACUUCUGACUAACCCAGAAGUAAGCUAGAUUGGGGGAAGUCAACCGCACCACAGCUUCCAUAAUCUUCACGGGAAUUCAUCAGAAAGCUCCCAUUUUUGGGUUGGAAUCCUAAUUCCUGCACCGAAUCGGGUACUGGGUUGCCACAAUCAGAGAAUUCUGUGUUCUUCCGAGACAAUCAUUCGCCCAUUUUCACUUCUGACUAACCCAGAAGUAAGCAAGAUUGGGGGAAGUCAACCGCACCACAGCUUCCAUAAUCUUCAAGGGAAUUCAUCAGAAAGCUCCCAUUUUUGGGCUGGAAUCCUAAUCCCUACCCCGAAACGGGUACUGGGCUGUCACGAUUUCUCCUUUUUUUUGGUGGGUAGGGGGAUAAUUUUCUGUCAAAAUCCUCAAUAUUAAUAUUGCUAUUAUUCGUCAGCGCCAUAUUGUGCCUCUGUGCUCAUAUCAUCAUCAUCAGACUAUUAUUAUUAUUAUUAUUAUUAUCAUCAUCAUCAUCAUCAAUAUUUUUUUCUUGAAUGAAAAAUGUGCUGUGGAUGGGGUUUUUCAGGGUGAUCCGACCUACCUGGUGGUGGAGAACGACAGGACGCUUGCUACUUAUGGAAUAAAUGCGGUGUGCACUCACCUUGGGUGCGUGGUGCCGUGGAACAAGGCGGAGAACAAGUUCAUCUGCCCUUGCCACGGCUCCCAGUACAACAACCAGGGCCGCGUCGUCAGGGGUCCCGCCCCUCUGGUCAGCCCCGCUCCCUCCCGCCUCCCCUUGACUUUCGAUCUUUUCCGGCCGUUUCUCUCUCUAGAUUCCUGUUUUGUUUCCGUCUUUCUCCCGGCGCGCUGCCGUUCGCCGUUUCUUUCUCCAAGUUCGUGCUCUAUUCUCCCCUUCUCGUUCCUGCUCUUGGUCUCUCGUCCUUGGAUUCUUCGAUCUUAUGCGCUGUUUCUCUCUCUAGGCUCCUGCUCCGUUUCGCCUCUCUGUCUCUUGCUUGUUUUGGCUCCGACCCAGAGUGGCCGAUCCUGUGCGCCGUCUCUCUCUCUCUAAGUUCCUGCGUUAUCUCUCUUCCCGGUCCUCGUUUUACGUCGUCGUUUCUCUGCCUCGCUGCGAACAUGCCACCGUCUCUCUCUCUCUCUCUCUCUCUCUCNN
RNAcentral lists this long non-coding RNA (1521 nucleotides) under Spirodela polyrhiza (greater duckweed). RNAcentral's name for it is "long non-coding RNA (SPOL_LNC000098)". The record is from RNAcentral. Lineage: Eukaryota; Viridiplantae; Streptophyta; Magnoliopsida; Alismatales; Araceae.